AAGUCGUAACAAGGUCUCCGUAGGUGAACCUGCGGAGGGAUCAUUACCGAGUUAGGGCGUUCGCGCCCGAACCUCCAACCCUUUGUUGUCCGACCCGUUGCCUCGGGGGCGACCCCGCGAGGGGGCCCCCGGAGGACCUUACAAAACCUAUUUUAACCUGAACUCUGAGUAAAAACCACAAUUGAACAAAACUUUCAACAACGGAUCUCUUGGUUCUGGCAUCGAUGAAGAACGCAGCGAAAUGCGAUAAGUAAUGUGAAUUGCAGAAUUCAGUGAAUCAUCGAAUCUUUGAACGCACAUUGCGCCCCCUGGCAUUCCGGGGGGCAUGCCCGUUCGAGCGUCAUUACACCACUCAAGCCUCGCUUGGUAUUGAGGGCCGCGGCCUCGCCCGCGCCCUUUGAAUCCACCGGCUGGCCUCUGCGGUCCCCUAGCGUUGUGCAAACGUCCGCUUGGAGGGUCCGCGGCGACCACGCCGACCAAAAUUCUUCUCAAGGUUGACCUCGAAUCGGGUAGGGAUACCCGCUGAACUUAA
This 532-nucleotide ribosomal RNA is filed under the name uncultured fungus. Its description in RNAcentral is "eukaryotic LSU rRNA". The stretch from base 190 to 343 matches the Rfam family "5.8S ribosomal RNA". Lineage: Eukaryota; Fungi. The record is from RNAcentral.